Molecule: long non-coding RNA, 870 nt
Organism: Panicum virgatum (switchgrass)
Lineage: Eukaryota; Viridiplantae; Streptophyta; Magnoliopsida; Poales; Poaceae
Exons: 4
Source: RefSeq, a predicted model, not a curated record
AGGCUUCGGCCCGUUCCUGGUUUGGGUCCCACGAUUCUGCAUUCUGGCCUUCUGCUGCACCCGCCGCUAGGAUCCUGCUCGUUGCUGCUUCCUGUUUGACGGCCCCGCAUUUUGGUCUCCUCCUGCACCUGCCGCUAGGCCUGCCUGGUUGGAAUCCAACUUUUCACGUGCCAAAAAAAUUAAUGCUCACUGCCGUAGGAUGCCUGCUCCGUAUAAACGCCGGGCUGACCUCCCUCCAAGCGGCACUGGCUGUUACGCACCUGGCGGCUCAUACUCUGCUGAAACCGUUCAAAACGCCGGAAAUAUCUGUUGCAGAAACGCAUUACCCACUCAGGUAUGGUAGGCUGCACAGGAUCUGUAGAUCCAUUUACGUGUUCCACUCCAGAUACAGCAAUAGAAGCCGUGCUUGCGUUACCUCCAUUCUGCAACACGUUUCACCAUUGUUGCCUUCUUCGAUGAUGGCAGAGGGGAACCGUCAGUGCGGACGCUUUGCUCAGGAGUAUAUUGAAGCACUAAAAGGUAUCGCGCGAAAGUAAUUGUGUAGGUUCACCAACCAUACCGUAUUUCCUAACACAAAUGAGAUUUUCCACAGCUUCGUAUACAGGAAGAUCGUAUUAUGGUUCGCCUGAUUACGUGUGCUCCCACUGUGGUGCGGUAUUCUGGUACCAAGAAAGAAUUAAAUCAGCCUCUUCCAGCCUGCAGAACAAAAUAAAUUUCUACCAGUGCUGCAAGCAAGGGUGGCAAGAUAGUUAUACCGCCUUUCCUUCGUAGACCGGAACCUCUUGCAUCCCUUGCUACUUUCGCUGGCGGAUCUCGAGCCAACAGAUUCAUGAAAAAUAUAAGGCAGUACAAUUGCCUUUUUGCGUUCAC